RNAcentral lists this long non-coding RNA (271 nucleotides) under Struthio camelus australis. Its description in RNAcentral is "lncRNA (ENSSCUG00000017417.1)". Lineage: Eukaryota; Metazoa; Chordata; Aves; Struthioniformes; Struthionidae. The record is from RNAcentral.
UGUUUUUUUUUUUUUUUUUCCUUUUACAUGAAAAUUGAAAAGUGUUCAUGGCUUUAGCAACAGGCUUUUGGAGGGUUUUGUGUGAGGCUUUUCAUAUGAUAAUUGGUAGAUUCUAUGGCAACCAUUGAAAAAGAAGCCCUGAAAACAAAAGCUGCAGCAGAAGAGGAUCAGUACAUAUUCACUAUGUCUGCGGGAAUAACGGCAGAGACUCACUCUUCAGAAAGGAUUCUGUUCAGCAAAACCACAAAACAUUGCACCACCUUGGUCUUAU